This is a long non-coding RNA of Mastomys coucha (southern multimammate mouse), 837 nucleotides long. RefSeq lists it as uncharacterized. The record is from RefSeq and is a predicted model, not a curated record. Lineage: Eukaryota; Metazoa; Chordata; Mammalia; Rodentia; Muridae. The transcript is spliced from 4 exons.
GGCAUCAUCCUUUCCUUCUGCUCUAACGUUCCUUCCGAAGGGAGACAGAACAGAGGGGCGGUGGCAGGGUCAUCACCACAAGCAAGCUGGAACUGAUAAAAGCAGGGGCAGCCCCCACCAAGGCCAGAGCACUGGAGACUAAUCGUGGUCAGAUGUGCCAUCAGUCACCCCCGUUGGCCCUCGCAGCCAUGCUGAAAGGUUAGCUCUGCUUGGCAAGGAUAGAAAAACAUAUAUUUGCAGAGCUUAAACAAUUUGCCCAAGCCAGGCAGGCCCUGGAACCAAGACUGACUCCAGCUCAGCCAGCACCGAAUGGUCUAGCAAGUACCAUCACGGGGUAUUUCAGAGCUCCUUUGAGUUCAAGAGUUCAAGACCAGUCUGGACAACAUGGUGAGAUCAUGUCUCAAAGAACAAAACCCAUAAUCACCGUCAUCAUCAUCUAGACAGAAGGGAAAGCCACAGGACAUGUAUAAACUGGGGAUAUCGAGGAGGGAGAAAUUGGCUUCCUGGCAGCAAUGGGAAUGACACAAGAUCACCAUCUAAUACUACUCAAGAUCUCUGGAUAACUUACUCUUGUCUUCCAAGUGAAAGAAGUGGGCUCCAGGACACUUAAGUCCAUGUACAAAGUUGCUUGUCUUAUACAUGAAAGAAUUGGAAGUUGAAACCCAAAUCUAUCAAGAGCAUGUACGGCACUGCAGAAGCGCAGGUCCUCAGUUGUCCUGGAAAGCAGGAAGAACAGUUUGGGAGACUGGGGCUACAUAAUCAGUAGGCCAGUCACACCUGAAUUUCGAAGUUAUCUCACCUGGACAAUGCAAAUACAGCAAUAAUGAUCUAAUAUCA